Molecule: ribosomal RNA, 314 nt
Filed under: uncultured Thelephora
Lineage: Eukaryota; Fungi; Basidiomycota; Agaricomycetes; Thelephorales; Thelephoraceae
Description: eukaryotic LSU rRNA
Rfam family: 5.8S ribosomal RNA (bases 1-72)
Source: RNAcentral
GUGAGUCAUCGAAUCUUUGAACGCACCUUGCGCCCCUUGGCUAUUCCGAGGGGCAUGCCUGUUUGAGUAUCAUGAACACCUCAACUCUCAUGGUUUGCCAUGAUGAGUUGGACUCUGGGGGUUUUGCUGGCCUGUGGUCGGCUCCUCUCAAAUUAAUCAGCCUCCCAGUGUUUGGUGGCAUCACGGGUGUGAUAAAUAUCUACGCUCGCUGUUGUCUGCCAGGUAACCUUUGGUCACAAAGGUUUGCUGGAGCUCACAGAUGUCUCUCCUCAGCGAGGACAGCUUUUUUAACGUUCGAUCUCAAAUCAGGUAGG